AGGAUAAACGCUGGCGGCGUGCAUUAGACAUGCAAGUCGAACGGACUUUUCAGGGCUUGCUCUGAAAAGUUAGUGGCGGACGGCUGAGUAACGCGUAGGUAACCUACCCCGAAGUGGGGAAUAACUGCCCGAAAGGGUGGCUAAUACCGCAUGUGAUCGUUUGUUCAUUCGAACGAUCAAAGCAGCAAUGCGCUUCGGGAGGGGCCUGCGUCCGAUUAGCUCGUUGGUGGGGUAAUGGCUCACCAAGGCGACGAUCGGUAGGUGGUCUGAGAGGACGAUCACCCAGACUGGGACUGAGACACGGCCCAGACUCCUACGGGAGGCAGCAGUCGGGAAUUUUGCUCAAUGGGCGCAAGCCUGAAGCAGCAACGCCGCGUGAGGGAUGAAGGCCUUCGGGUUGUAAACCUUCUUUUAUCAGGGAAGAUUAUGACGGUACCUGAUGAAUAGCCACGGCUAACUACGUGCCAGCAGCCGC
Molecule: ribosomal RNA, 475 nt
Filed under: uncultured bacterium
Lineage: Bacteria
Description: SSU rRNA
Rfam family: Bacterial small subunit ribosomal RNA
Source: RNAcentral